This 407-nucleotide ribosomal RNA is filed under the name uncultured bacterium. Its description in RNAcentral is "partial 16S ribosomal RNA". It matches the Rfam family "Bacterial small subunit ribosomal RNA", at positions 28 to 526 of the family's 1533-position model. The record is from RNAcentral.
GACGAACGCUGACGGCGUGCCUAAUACAUGCAAGUAGAACGCAGUUGCGAACGGGUGAGUAACGCGUAGGUAACUGCCUCAUAGCGGGGGAUCACUCUUGGAAACGAUAGCUAAUACCGCAUACUGGGAGAUGGACCUGCGUUGUAUUAGCUAGUUGGUGAGGUAAAGGCUCACCAAGGCGACGAUACAUAGCCGACCUGAGAGGGUGAGCGGCCAAACUGGGACCGAGACCCGGGCAAGAAUCCAACGGGAGGCAGCAGUAGGGAAUCUCCGGCAAUGGACGGAAUUUUGACCGAGCAACGCCGCGUGAGUGGAGAAGGUUGUCGGAUCGUAAAGCUCUGUUGUUAGGGAAGCGGUAACUAACCCGAAAGGGAUGGCGAACUACGUGCCAGCAGCCGCGGUAAUUC